RNAcentral lists this ribosomal RNA (3014 nucleotides) under Pseudomonadota bacterium. Its description in RNAcentral is "23S ribosomal RNA". It matches the Rfam family "Bacterial large subunit ribosomal RNA". RNAcentral also lists the same sequence under 1 other name. The record is from RNAcentral. Lineage: Bacteria; Pseudomonadati; Pseudomonadota.
GGUCAAGUGACCAAGGGUUAAUGGUGGAUGACUAGGCACGAGAAGGCGAUGAAGGACGUGGCAAGCUGCGAUAAGCUCCGGGGAACCGCAAACAAGUUUCGAUCCGGAGAUUUCCGAAUGGGGCAACCCGCCGCUGUUCAUCCGGCGGCAUCCUGCCGCAAGGCAGGGAGCGAUACCCAGGGAACUGAAACAUCUCAGUACCUGGAGGAGAAGAAAACAAUCCGUGAUUCCCUCAGUAGCGGCGAGCGAACGGGGAAGAGCCUAAACACAGUUUGUGUCAAGCCCGAAUGCGUUGCAGACUGUGGGUUGUGGGGCUUUAGUGGAGGGAGGUUCGGAUCUCUCGCUGAGUGAAAACCGGAUGGCUAGUAGAAAGGUCUGGAACGGCCUACCAAAGAAGGUGACAAGUCCUGUAAACGAAAGCCAGCCGGCUCAGUUCUAAAGUACCCGAGUACCACGGGGCACGUGAAAUCCUGUGGGAAUCCAGCCCGACCGCGGGCUCAGGCUAAACACUCACUCGUGACCGAUAGUGCACAAGUACCGUGAGGGAAAGUUGAAAAGUACCCCGGUGAGGGGAGUGAAAUAGGACCUGAAACCGUUAACCUGCAAGCUGUAGGAGCGCUAUAGCGGGUUCGCAAGAACCCGCCAUGCGUGACUGCGUACCUUUUGCAUAAUGAACCAGGGAGUAACAUAGGCGCAGCGAGGUUAAUCCCUUCUGGGGAGAAGCCGGAGCGAAAGCGAGUCCUAACAGGGCGAUUCAGUUGCGUCUAGUUGACCCGAAGCUGGGUGAUCUACCCAUGGCCAGGCUGAAGCUCGGUUAACCCCGGGUGGAGGGCCGAACCCAUUGAGGUUGAAAACUCAAGGGAUGAGCUGUGGGUUGGAGUGAAAGGCUAAUCAAACCCAGAAAUAGCUGGUUCUCCCCGAAAUAGCUCUAGGGCUAGCCUUGGGAUUGCUGGGAUGCGGGGGUAGAGUGCUGAAUGGGCUAGGGGACCUACCAGUCUACCGAACCCAACCAAACUCCGAAUACCGCACACCUUGACCCCAGGAGUCAGCCUACGUGGGAUAAGCUGCGUGGACAAAAGGAGAACACUCCGGACCGCCGGCUAAGGUCCCGGAUACAGGUUAAGUGACAAAGGAUGUGCGAUGGCUUAGACAACCGGGAUGUUGGCUCAGAGGCAGCCAUCAUUUAAAGAGUGCGUAACAGCUCACCGGUCGAUGUCGUUGCGCGCCUACAAUGAUCGGGACUAAACCUGUGACCGACGCCGCGGAUUUUGCGCCUUUGGCGCAGAGUGGUAGGGGAGCGUACUGCAGUAGAGUGAAGGUGGACCGUAAGGACCACUGGACGAAGCAGUAGUGAGAAUCCUGGUAUGAGUAGCGAAAAUGCUGGUGAAAAACCAGCACGCCGAAAACCUAAGGGUUCCUGGGGAAGGUUCGUCCGCCCAGGGUUAGGCGGUCCUAAGUUGAGGCCGAAAGGCGUAGGCGAUGGACAGCCGGUUAAUAUUCCGGCCCCUCCUGGUAAUGCGCUUGAGCCGUAUCGGUGACGCAGGGGGUUAGAUCAUCCCGGGUGCUGGUUGUCUCGGGUCAAGCCGGUAGCUCCGCCGCAAGGCGGAGUGAGAGGCGAUGGGGAGUCGCGGGGAAACCCAAGGCGAAGUGGUUGAUACCGUACUGCCAAGAAAACCCGAUGCGGUGAGGUGUUACCGGGAGUCCGUACCGCAAUCCGACACAGGUAGGUGUGCUGAAUAUGCUCAGGCGAGCGAGAUAACCCUCGUUAAGGAACUCGGCAAAAUGACCCCGUAACUUCGGGAGAAGGGGCGGUUUUGCGUGUGAAGUGGUUUACCCAUGGAGCAUGCUGGACCCCCAGUAAAGAGAGCUAAGUGACUGUUUAGUAAAAACCCAUCUCUCUGCUAAGUCGUCAAGACGACGUAUAGGGAGUGACACCUGCCCGGUGCUGGAAGGUUAAGGGGAGAUGUCAUCCUGCCGCAAGGCAGGGGAAGCGUUGAACUGAAGCCCCAGUAAACGGCGGCCGUAACUAUAACGGUCCUAAGGUAGCGAAAUUCCUUGUCGGGUAAGUUCCGACCCGCACGAAUGGUGUAACUACUUAGCUGCUGUCUCAACGAGGGACUCGGCGAAAAUGUAGUGGCGGUGAAGAUGCCGUCUACCCGCAUGUAGACGAAAAGACCCCAGAACCUUGACUGCAACUUGGUCUGGAAUAUUCGUACUGUCUGCGUAGGAUAGGUGGGAGGCUUUGAAGUUCCGCUUUCGGGCGGGAUGGAGCCAACGGUGCAAUACCACCCUGAUUGUAUAAAUGUUCUAACCCCUUCCGUGGAGGGAGGGGGACAGGGCCAGGCGGGCAGUUUGACUGGGGCGGUUUCCUCCUAAAGGAUAACGGAGGAGCGCCAAGGUUCCCUCAGCGCGGUUGGCAAUCGCGUGUCGAGUGUAAGGAUAUAAGGGAGCUUGACUGCGAGUCUGACAGGACGAGCAGGUACGAAAGUAGGUCCUAGUGAUCCGGCGGUGGUUUGUGGUAACGCCGUCGCUCAUCGAACAAUAGGUACUCUGGGGAUAACAGGCUUAUCGGGCCCGAGAGUUCACAUCGACGGCCCGGUUUGGCACCUCGAUGUCGGCUCAUCGCAUCCUGGGGGUGGAGAAGCUCCCAAGGGUCCGGCUGUUCGCCGGUUAAAGCGGUACGCGAGCUGGGUUUAGAACGUCGUGAGACAGUUCGGUCUCUAUCUCAUGCGGGCGUGAGGAAUCUUGACGGGGGUUGUCCGUAGUACGAGAGGACCCGGACAAGCGGACCUCUGGUGUCCCAGUUGUGCUGCCAAGCGCAAAGGCUGGGUAGUCAUGUCCGUUCGGGAUAAGCGCUGAACGCAUCUAAGUGCCAAGCCCACCCGAAGAUAAGGAUUCCCUGGAUCGCAAGAUCCCUAAAGGCCCCUGGAAGAUGACCAGGUUGAUAGGCUGGAGGUGGAAGAGGGGUGACCCUUGCAGCUGACCAGUACUAAUCGGCCGUGCGGCUUGACCAC